Humulus lupulus (European hop) is the source of this 632-nucleotide long non-coding RNA. RefSeq lists it as uncharacterized. The record is from RefSeq and is a predicted model, not a curated record. Lineage: Eukaryota; Viridiplantae; Streptophyta; Magnoliopsida; Rosales; Cannabaceae. The transcript has 5 exons.
CUAGGGGGGUGGGAUUGAUUGCGCAAGGACGGGGCUAGCUGGACAGAACGGCUAGUGCUUUUUACAUCACUAGAGAUAUAGCUACUGAAGCCAAACAAGUUCAUAUUGCCACAAGAAGCCCUGAUGUGAAAGUGGAAAAGCUGGAAAACCACAACAAUAUAUGGCAGCAUAUGAUGGGUCUGCUCUUCAACAUAAUAGAGUUACAUUAAUCCAAGUGGAUUGCUGCCAAACAAAGAGGAAAUGAUGGCUUCCACUAAUGAGUUUUACAAGUAAAUGUAGGACCUUGGCUUGCCAAAACGCUCAGCCCAUUUCCUUGCACCAUAUCAGUUUGCUAUUGUGCAAUGGAGACUAACUGAGGUCUGUCAAAGAUUGCAGCAUGAUCUUGUGAUCCAGAGUUUUAAUGGUCUAUAUUGAGAUGCAUUUCUUUGGAGCAAUACUAGACAAUAUUGGCAGUUGAAGUUUUUAGAAUAAAAAAUAUAUUUCACUAACAUUGUAUACAUUUCUUGUUUAAUAUUUGGUGAUGAUAGAAUUUGAUUGUAGUAUAAACUAUCAUGUAAUAUGAUUUUGUAAGCCGAGUAGACUAAAUAUUGAAUUAUAUCUUUGAGUAAUUAAUAAAAAAUUAUUUUGUUGUA